AGUGAACGCUGGCGGUAGGCCUAACACAUGCAAGUCGAACGGCAGCACAGUAAGAGCUUGCUCUUACGGGUGGCGAGUGGCGGACGGGUGAGGAAUACAUCGGAAUCUACUUUUUCGUGGGGGAUAACGUAGGGAAACUUACGCUAAUACCGCAUACGACCUACGGGUGAAAGCAGGGGAUCUUCGGACCUUGCGCAAUUGAAUGAGCCGAUGUCGGAUUAGCUAGUUGGCGGGGUAAAGGCCCACCAAGGCGACGAUCCGUAGCUGGUCUGAGAGGAUGAUCAGCCACACUGGAACUGAGACACGGUCCAGACUCCUACGGGAGGCAGCAGUGGGGAAUAUUGGACAAUGGGCGCAAGCCUGAUCCGGCCAUACCGCGUGGGUGAAGAAGGCCUUCGGGUUGUAAAGCCCUUUUGUUGGGAAAGAAAAGCAGCAGGUUAAUACCCCGCUGUUCUGACGGUACCCAAAGAAUAAGCACCGGCUAACUUCGUG
This 492-nucleotide ribosomal RNA is filed under the name uncultured bacterium. RNAcentral's name for it is "partial 16S ribosomal RNA". It matches the Rfam family "Bacterial small subunit ribosomal RNA", at positions 29 to 507 of the family's 1533-position model. The record is from RNAcentral.